UACAGAGGGUGCGAGCGUUAAUCGGAAUUACUGGGCGUAAAGCGUGCGUAGACGGUUUGUUAAGUCUGAUGUGAAAGCCCUGGGCUCAACCCGGGAACGGCAUUGGAAACUGGCUUACUAGAGUGCGGUAGAGGGGUGUGGAAUUCCCAGUGUAGCGGUGAAAUGCGUAGAUAUUGGGAGGAACACCAGUGGCGAAGGCGGCUACCUGGACCGGUUCUGACGCUGAGGCGCGAAAGCGUGGGGAGCAAACAGG
Molecule: ribosomal RNA, 253 nt
Filed under: uncultured bacterium
Lineage: Bacteria
Description: partial 16S ribosomal RNA
Rfam family: Bacterial small subunit ribosomal RNA
Source: RNAcentral